GACGAACGCUGGCGGCGUGCCUAAUACAUGCAAGUCGAGCGGACGAAUCGAAAGCUUGCUUUUGAUUCGUUAGCGGCGGACGGGUGAGUAACACGUGGGCAACCUGCCCUGUAGACGGGGAUAACACCGAGAAAUCGGUGCUAAUACCGGAUAACACGAAAUGUCGCAUGACGUUUCGUUGAAAGACGGCGCAAGCUGUCGCUACAGGAUGGGCCCGCGGCGCAUUAGCUAGUUGGUGAGGUAACGGCUCACCAAGGCGACGAUGCGUAGCCGACCUGAGAGGGUGAUCGGCCACACUGGGACUGAGACACGGCCCAGACUCCUACGGGAGGCAGCAGUAGGGAAUCUUCCGCAAUGGACGAAAGUCUGACGGAGCAACGCCGCGUGAGCGAAGAAGGCCUUCGGGUCGUAAAGCUCUGUUGUCAGGGAAGAACAAGUAACGCAGUAACUGGCGUUACCGUGACGGUACCUAACGAGAAAGCCACGGCUAACUACGUG
This 498-nucleotide ribosomal RNA is filed under the name uncultured bacterium. RNAcentral describes it as "partial 16S ribosomal RNA". It matches the Rfam family "Bacterial small subunit ribosomal RNA", at positions 28 to 507 of the family's 1533-position model. The record is from RNAcentral.